Candoia aspera is the source of this 684-nucleotide non-coding RNA. NCBI's taxonomy places the organism in Eukaryota, Metazoa, Chordata, Lepidosauria, Squamata, Candoiidae. The record is from the annotation of a RefSeq genome assembly.
AUGAUCCUGUGGCUGAAUUUGGUUUCCUUACUAGCAGUCCUCAGAGGUGUCAAGUUUGAGCUCCACUUGGUGGAGUCUGGAGGGGACGUGAGAAGGCCUGGAGAGUCACUCCGUCUCUCCUGCCAAGCCUCUGGCUUCCCCUUCAGCAGUUAUGACAUGGACUGGGUAAGACAGGCUCCUGGAAAAGGACGGGAAUGGGUGGCCAGCAUAGAUCCAGAGAUGCUUGGCUCUACCACUGCCUAUUCAGACAAAGUCAAGGGACGCUUCACCAUCUCCAGGAACGAUUCCCGCAGCCAGCUGUAUCUGCAAAUGAGCAGCCUGAAGCCAGAGGACACGGCAGUCUAUUACUAUGGCCUCCGUCUCUCCUGCCAAGCCUCUGGAUUCGACUUCAGCAGCUCCUACAUGCACUGGCUGAGAGAGGACCCUGGGAAAGGGCUGGAAUGGAUUGCAGUGGUAGAUUAUGAUGGAGAAACCUACUACUUGGACAAAGUGAAGGGAGGCAUCACCAUUUCCAGGGACAAUUCCCGCAGCCAGCUGUAUCUGCAAAUGAGCAGCCUGAAGCCGGAGGACUUGGCAGUCUAUUACUGUGUGGGAGACAAAGUGGGAGGAACUGAGUCUGAAGCCUGGAAAAAAAACGUCCCUUCUGUAGAGCCGCUCUCCAGUUUGAUUCAAUCAAUAGUAUAG